This 85-nucleotide transfer RNA is filed under the name Pseudomonadota bacterium. Its description in RNAcentral is "tRNA-Leu". It matches the Rfam family "tRNA". Rfam says of the family: Transfer RNA (tRNA) molecules are approximately 80 nucleotides in length. Their secondary structure includes four short double-helical elements and three loops (D, anti-codon, and T loops). Lineage: Bacteria; Pseudomonadati; Pseudomonadota. RNAcentral also lists the same sequence under 1 other name. The record is from RNAcentral.
GCCGGAGUGGCGGAACGGUAGACGCGCCCGCCUCAAAAGCGGGUGCCGCACAGGCGUGGGGGUUCGAAUCCCCCCUCCGGCACCA